Molecule: ribosomal RNA, 446 nt
Filed under: uncultured bacterium
Lineage: Bacteria
Description: bacterial SSU rRNA
Rfam family: Bacterial small subunit ribosomal RNA
Source: RNAcentral
GGACCCGCACAAGCGGUGGAACAUGUGGUUUAAUUCGAUGAUACGCGAAGAACCUUACCUGGGUUUGACAUGUUAGUGAAAGUUUUCUGAAAAGAAUUCCCUUUAAGAGCUUGCUCUUAAACACUAUCACAGGUGGUGCAUGGCUGUCGUCAGCUCGUGUCGUGAGAUGUUAGGUUAAGUCCUGCAACGAGCGCAACCCCUAUAUUUAGUUGCCAGCACAUAAUGGUGGGGACUCUAGAUAGACUGCCCGGAAUAACCGGGAGGAAGGUGGGGAUGAUGUCAAGUCAGUAUGUCCCCUUAUACCCAGGGCUACACACGUGUUACAAUGGAUAGUACAAAAAGUCGCAAUCCCGCGAGGAGGAGCCAAUCUCACAAAACCGGUCGUAGUCCGGAUUGCAGUCUGCAACUCGACUGCAUGAAGCUGGAAUCGCUAGUAAUCGCGGAUC